RNAcentral lists this ribosomal RNA (1374 nucleotides) under uncultured bacterium. RNAcentral describes it as "16S ribosomal RNA". It matches the Rfam family "Bacterial small subunit ribosomal RNA", at positions 30 to 1395 of the family's 1533-position model. The record is from RNAcentral.
UGAACGCUGGCGGUAUGCUUAACACAUGCAAGUCGAACGGAAACGAUACUAGCUUGCUAGUAGGCGUCGAGUGGCGGACGGGUGAGUAACGCGUAGGAAUCUGCCUGAUAGUGGGGGAUAGCCCGAAGAAAUUCGGAUUAAUACCGCAUAAUCUAUUCGUAGUAAAGUGGGGGACUUUCGAGCCUCACGCUAUCAGAUGAGCCUGCGUAAGAUUAGCUUGUUGGUAGGGUAAAAGCCUACCAAGGCGACGAUCUUUAGCUGGUCUGAGAGGAUGAUCAGCCACAUCGGGACUGAGACACGGCCCGAACUCCUACGGGAGGCAGCAGUGGGGAAUAUUGGACAAUGGGGGCAACCCUGAUCCAGCAAUACCGCGUGUGUGAAGAAGGCCUGAGGGUUGUAAAGCACUUUCAAUUGUGAAGAAAAGUUAGCGGUUAAUAACCGUUAGCCUUGACGUUAACUUUAGAAGAAGCACCGGCUAACUCCGUGCCAGCAGCCGCGGUAAUACGGAGGGUGCAAGCGUUAAUCGGAAUUACUGGGCGUAAAGCGUGCGUAGGCGGUUUAUUAAGUCAGAUGUGAAAGCCCCGGGCUUAACCUGGGAACUGCAUUUGAAACUGGUCAACUAGAGUAUGGUAGAGGAAAGUGGAAUUUCUGGUGUAGCGGUGAAAUGCGUAGAUAUCAGAAGGAACAUCAAUGGCGAAGGCAGCUUUCUGGACCAAUACUGACGCUGAGGUACGAAAGCGUGGGUAGCAAACAGGAUUAGAUACCCUGGUAGUCCACGCCGUAAACGAUGAUAACUAGCCGUUGGGGGGAUUUACCCUUUAGUGGCGAAGCUAACGCGUUAAGUUAUCCGCCUGGGGAGUACGGCCGCAAGGUUAAAACUCAAAGGAAUUGACGGGGACCCGCACAAGCGGUGGAGCAUGUGGUUUAAUUCGAUGCAACGCGAAGAACCUUACCUGGUCUUGACAUCCUGCGAACUUUCUAGAAAUAGAUUGGUGCCUUCGGGAACGCAGUGACAGGUGCUGCAUGGCUGUCGUCAGCUCGUGUCGUGAGAUGUUGGGUUAAGUCCCGUAACGAGCGCAACCCCUAUCCUUAUUUGCCAGCACAUCAUGGUGGGAACUAUAAGGAGACUGCCGGUGAUAAACCGGAGGAAGGCGGGGACGACGUCAAGUCAUCAUGGCCCUUACGACCAGGGCUACACACGUGCUACAAUGGGAAGGACAAAGAGCCGCGAAGCCGCGAGGUGUAGCUAAUCUCAUAAACCUUUUCGUAGUCCGGAUUGGAGUCUGCAACUCGACUCCAUGAAGUCGGAAUCGCUAGUAAUCGUAGAUCAGAAUGCUACGGUGAAUACGUUCCCGGGUCUUGUACUCACCGCCC